AGCGAACGCUGGCGGCAGGCCUAACACAUGCAAGUCGAACGAACCUUUCGGGGUUAGUGGCGGACGGGUGAGUAACACGUGGGAACGUGCCUUUAGGUUCGGAAUAACUCAGGGAAACUUGUGCUAAUACCGAAUGUGCCCUUCGGGGGAAAGAUUUAUCGCCUUUAGAGCGGCCCGCGUCUGAUUAGCUAGUUGGUUGAGGUAAUGGCUCACCAAGGCGACGAUCAGUAGCUGGUCUGAGAGGAUGAUCAGCCACAUUGGGACUGAGACACGGCCCAAACUCCUACGGGAGGCAGCAGUGGGGAAUCUUGCGCAAUGGGCGAAAGCCUGACGCAGCCAUGCCGCGUGAAUGAUGAAGGUCUUAGGAUUGUAAAAUUCUUUCACCGGGGACUAUAAUGACGGUACCCGGAGAAGAAGCCCCGGCUAACUUCGUG
Molecule: ribosomal RNA, 434 nt
Filed under: uncultured bacterium
Lineage: Bacteria
Description: partial 16S ribosomal RNA
Rfam family: Bacterial small subunit ribosomal RNA
Source: RNAcentral